RNAcentral lists this ribosomal RNA (459 nucleotides) under uncultured bacterium. Its description in RNAcentral is "partial 16S ribosomal RNA". It matches the Rfam family "Bacterial small subunit ribosomal RNA", at positions 338 to 795 of the family's 1533-position model. The record is from RNAcentral.
CCUACGGGCGGCAGCAGUGAGGAAUAUUGGUCAAUGGGCGGGAGCCUGAACCAGCCAAGUCGCGUGAGGGACGACGGUCCUAGGGAGUGUAAACCUCUUUUGUCGGGGAACAAAGUCGCCCACGGGUGGGCGGAUGAGUGUACCCGCAGAAAAAGCAUCGGCUAACUCCGUCCCAGCAGCCGCGGUAAUACGGGGGAUGCGAGCGUUAUCCGGAUUUAUUGGGUUUAAAGGGUGCGUAGGCGGACAGUCAAGUCAGCGGUAAAGAUGCGGUGCUCACGGGCGUACAGCCGUUGAAACUGGCAGUCUUGAGUGGGCGAGAAGUGUGCGGAAUGCGUGGUGUAGCGGUGAAAUGCAUAGAUAUCACGCAGAACACCGAUUGCGAAGGCAGCAUACCGGCGCCCGACUGACGCUGAGGCACGAAAGCGUGGGUAUCGAACAGGAUUAGAUACCCGAGUAGUC